This 459-nucleotide ribosomal RNA is filed under the name uncultured bacterium. RNAcentral describes it as "partial 16S ribosomal RNA". It matches the Rfam family "Bacterial small subunit ribosomal RNA", at positions 338 to 795 of the family's 1533-position model. The record is from RNAcentral.
CCUACGGGAGGCAGCAGUGAGGAAUAUUGGUCAAUGGCCGGAAGGCUGAACCAGCCAAGCCGCGUGAAGGACGAAGGUGCCAAGCAUUGUAAACUUCUUUUGUCAAGGGACAAAAUCAGGCUCGAGAGCCUGACCGAGGGUACUUGAAGAAAAAGCAUCGGCUAACUCCGUGCCAGCAGCCGCGGUAAUACGGAGGAUGCGAGCGUUAUCCGGAUUUAUUGGGUUUAAAGGGUGCGUAGGCGGACUGUUCAGUCAGCGGUAAAAGCCCGGGGCUCAACCCCGGCGAGCCGUUGAAACGGGCUGUCUUGAGAUGUCGAGAGGUAUGCGGAAUGCGCAGUGUAGCGGUGAAAGGCUUAGAGAUUGCGAAGAACUCCGAAUGCGAAGGCAGCAUACCGGCGGCGAUCUGACGCUGAGGCACGAAAGCGUGGGUAUCGAACAGGAUUAGAUACCCCGGUAGUC